Molecule: transfer RNA, 73 nt
Filed under: Strombomonas costata
Lineage: Eukaryota; Euglenozoa; Euglenophyceae; Euglenales; Euglenaceae
Also listed under: 1 other name
Description: tRNA-Trp
Rfam family: tRNA
About the family: Transfer RNA (tRNA) molecules are approximately 80 nucleotides in length. Their secondary structure includes four short double-helical elements and three loops (D, anti-codon, and T loops).
Source: RNAcentral
ACGCUUUUAGUUCAGUCGGUAGAACGUAGGUCUCCAAAACCUGAUGUCGUAGGUUCAAGUCCUACAGAGCGUG